This is an RNA transcript of Canis lupus familiaris (dog), 3154 nucleotides long. It is a transcript of the gene named semaphorin 4A, with no coding region annotated. The record is from RefSeq and is a predicted model, not a curated record. The transcript has 16 exons. NCBI's taxonomy places the organism in Eukaryota, Metazoa, Chordata, Mammalia, Carnivora, Canidae.
UGGUGACUGAGGACCAGUGAGGCGGGAUGGGGUUGAGGAUGGGGGGCGGGGGUGUGGCAGGGACGGAGGCACUGGGAGACAGGAACUGCCUGGCAUUCCAAGGGGAGGGAAGCACGGUGCAUCCCCAAACUCCAGAGCCAUCUGGUGACAGCCUCUGGCUGAGCAUGGCCCUCCUCGCCCUGGGCCUGGACCCCUGGAGCCUCCUGUGCCUUUUCCUCUUCCAACUGUUUCUGGCAUGGCUGCCGCUGACUGCAGGGGGCAGUGGGCAGGGGCCCCUGCCCAGGGUCACGUUCGGGGCAGGGGAUGGACGCAGGGCUCUCAGCCUCUUCCAGCAGAAGGGCCUCCAGGAUUUUGACACUCUGCUCUUGAGUGGUGAUGGAGGCACUCUCUAUGUGGGGGCUCGAGAGACCAUUCUGGCCUUGGAUAUCCAGGACUCAGGGAUGCCAAAGCUGAAGAACAUGAUACCCUGGCCAGCCAGUGACCAAAAAAAGAAUGAAUGUGCAUUUAAGAAGAAGAGCAUCGAGACACAGUGCUUCAACUUUAUCCGUGUCCUGGUCUCUGUCAAUGCCACCCACCUGUAUGCCUGUGGCACCUUCGCUUUCAGCCCCGCUUGUACCUUCAUUGAACUCCAAGAUUCCUACCUGUUGCCCAUCUCUGAGGACAAGGUUGUGGAAGGGAAGGGCCAAAGUCCCUUUGACCCUGCCCAUAAGCACACAGCUGUCUUAGCAGAUGGGAUGCUCUAUUCUGGCACCAUGAACAAUUUCCUGGGCAGCGAGCCCAUCUUGAUCCGCACGCUGGGACCCCAGCCCGUCCUCAAGACCGACAAUUUCCUCCGCUGGCUGCAGCCGGACGCCUCCUUCGUGGCAGCCAUCCCUUCGACCCACUUCGUCUACUUCUUCUUCGAGGAGACAGCCAGCGAGUUCGAGUUCUUUGAGAAGCUCCACACGUCGCGGGUGGCCAGAGUCUGCAAGAACGACGUGGGCGGGGACAAGCUGCUGCAGAAGAAGUGGACCACUUUCCUGAAGGCCCAGCUGCUGUGCUCUCAGCCGGGGCAGCUGCCCUUCAACGUCAUCCGCCACGCCGUCCUGCUGCCCGCCGCUGCCCCCGCCGAGCCCCGCGUCUACGCGACCUUCAGCUCUCAGUGGCAGAUUGGUGGGACCAGGAGCUCUGCUGUCUGUGCCUUCUCUCUCAAGGACAUCAAGCGUGUCUUUGAGGGGAAGUACAAGGAGUUGAAUAAAGAGACUUCACGCUGGACUACUUAUGGAGUCCCCGAGAUCAGUCCCCGGCCAGGCAGUUGCUCUGUAGGCCCCUCUUCUGAUAAAGCCUUGACCUUCAUGAAGGACCAUUUCCUGAUGGAUGAGCAGGUGAUGGGGACACCCUUGCUGGUGCAGUCGGGUGUGGAGUACACGAAGCUGGCAGUGGAAACAGCCCAGGGCGUCGAUGGGCACAGCCACCUGGUCAUGUACCUGGGCACCGCCACAGGGUCCCUCCAUAAGGCUGUGGUGAGUGAGGACAACAGUGCCCAUCUGGUGGAGGAAAUCCAGCUGUUCCCUGAACCUGUCCGCAACUUGCUGCUGGCCCCCGCGCAGGGCGCAGUGUUUGUGGGCUUCUCAGGGGGCAUCUGGAGGAUUCCCCGAGCCAACUGUAGCAUCUAUGAGAGCUGUGUGGACUGUGUCCUUGCCCGGGACCCCCACUGUGCCUGGGACCCUGAGUCUCGAACCUGCUGCCUCCUGCCUACUCCCAUCCCGAAGUCCUGGAGACAGGACAUGGAGCAAGGGAAUCCAAACUGGGCAUGUGCCACUGGCCCCAUGGGCAGGAGCUUCCAGUCUCAGAGCCGCCCCCAAAUGAUUAAAGAAGUCCUGGCCAUCCCCAACUCCAUCCUGGAGCUCCCCUGCCCCCAUCUGUCAGCCCUGGCCUCCUAUCGCUGGAGUCGUGGCUUGGCACAGGUCCCAGAAGCCUCGGCUGCCGCGGUCUACAAUGGCUCCUUGGUGCUGCUGCUGCGUGGUGGGGUGGGGGGCCUGUACCAGUGCUGGGCCACAGAGAAUGGCUUCUCGUACCCUGUGGUCUCCUACUGGGUGCACAGCCAGGACCAGCCCCUGGCCUUGGACCCUGAACUGGCGGGCAUUCCCCGGGAGCGCAUGGAGGCCCCACUGACCAGGGUUGGUGGUGGGGCUGCCCUGGCUGCUCCGCGGUCCUACUGGCCCCACUUCCUCACAGUUACAGUACUCCUGGCCCUGGUGCUUUCAGGAGGCCUCCUCCUCCUCCUCACCUCCCCGCUGGGGGUGCUCCGAGCCCGGGGCAAGGUACAGGGCUGUGAGACCUUGCCCCCGGGGGAGAAGGCCCCCCUGAGUCGAGAGCAGCACCUCCAACCUCCCAAGGAACUCAGGACCUCUACCAGCAAUGUGGACGCUGACAACAACCAUCUAGGCCCUGAUGUGGCUUAAACUCUGGGCACAGGCUGGGGGAGGGGGGCCCCCGGGCACACUAGCUGGGGGGACCUGGGACAGCACAGCACAAAAGAUCACCUUCCUGCCAUGCCACAGUGGCCCUCAGUGGGGCUGACACAGUGGCCCUCAGAGGCUGAUACAGUGGCCUGACCCCCUGGGGGCCUGCCCUGUACCACACACGUGGGCUCUCCAACCGCCUGUCCCAACCUGGGUCAAAUAAGAGCGGAUCCUUCAGCUCCGGCCAUUCCAAGAUCCUCCAGGAACAGACUGCUUCAGGAGACCCUACAACAUCUUCCUGCACAGAACCAACCCCGCAGCCUUUUCCUCUGCUCGGGCAUCGCCAGAGAGUGCCUCCAACUCUGAGCUCAGGCCAGAGCCGUCCCUGUGGAGCAGCCUCAGCUUGGCCUGGGCAGCACCUCAUCCAUCAUAACACCCGCUGCUUCCCAUCCUCUGCUGUCCCACUGUCUCUCCCCUUCCCUUCUCCACAGCCGCAGGUGGUGUCAACUGUGGGUGAACUGAAUUUUUGGAGACACUGUACAGCCACCUCCAUUCUGGCCACACACUUCCCAAAUCUGACAAAUAGUGCUCUGUCCACACCCCUGGGCUACCUCCCUGGAGGAUCCCCAAGCCUCUUCCCACCUCUGCUGAGACUGCCAGCGUUGCCCCUCAUUCUACCACUCUCUCACCUUCCACCUCCCCUCUCCCAC